CCUACGGUGGGCAGCAGUGGGGAAUAUUGGACAAUGGGCGAAAGCCUGAUCCAGCCAUGCCGCGUGUGUGAAGAAGGCCUUCGGGUUGUAAAGCACUUUCAGUGGGGAAGAAAGCCUUGGGGCUAAUACCCUCGAGGAAGGACAUCACCCACAGAAGAAGCACCGGCUAACUCCGUGCCAGCAGCCGCGGUAAUACGGAGGGUGCGAGCGUUAAUCGGAAUUACUGGGCGGAAAGCGCGCGUAGGCGGUCUGAUAAGCCGGUUGUGAAAGCCCCGGGCUCAACCUGGGAACGGCAUCCGGAACUGUCAGGCUAGAGUGCAGGAGAGGAAGGUAGAAUUCCCGGUGUAGCGGUGAAAUGCGUAGAGAUCGGGAGGAAUACCAGUGGCGAAGGCGGCCUUCUGGACUGACACUGACGCUGAGGUGCGAAAGCGUGGGUAGCAAACAGGAUUAGAUACCCUGGUAGUC
Molecule: ribosomal RNA, 465 nt
Filed under: Vreelandella stevensii
Lineage: Bacteria; Pseudomonadati; Pseudomonadota; Gammaproteobacteria; Oceanospirillales; Halomonadaceae
Description: partial 16S ribosomal RNA
Rfam family: Bacterial small subunit ribosomal RNA
Source: RNAcentral